RNAcentral lists this long non-coding RNA (847 nucleotides) under Homo sapiens (human). RNAcentral's name for it is "long intergenic non-protein coding RNA 964". Lineage: Eukaryota; Metazoa; Chordata; Mammalia; Primates; Hominidae. The record is from RNAcentral.
AAGGUGGCUAAGCAACAGAAGGAUGUUCCUUUCCCAAGGGGAGCAGUAUCUGAGAUCCAGGUAGAAAGACCAAAAGGAAAAUUAAGAACAGACUCUCAGACCUGCCUUCCCUUUGCAUUCAGAAGCAAGCAGCAUGCUGGAGACCCUCAAAUACAUGUGAAAUGAAGGGACACCUUGUGUUAUUUCACCUGUUUCCACCUGGUUCCCAAGUGGCAAGCUUGCAUUGAGGUUACAAAGUGGCAAAGCUGGGAUAUCACAUGAUGUCACCAUGAUGCUAUAUGAAAUGUAACAUUAAUUGAGUACCUAUGUGACCAGUUCUUUAAUUCUGUAAGUGAACUCUCAAAAAACCCUAGAGCACUGCGUGUUUUGAAAUAUACAAAUAGUGGGAAACGAAAUCUUUGUUCUGGAUGCAGUUAUAAUUUGGAAAGCGAGGAAAUAAAUUAUAACAAGGGGAAAAAACAGACACAGAGGGAUUGAAAUGCAUAACAAUAGAGAUGAAACACGAAGAGUGAUAAAUGAAGAUUGAGUGUGCACACCUUCUGGAGGAGCCCUGAUUGAGUAUUUUAAAAUACUACUAAAGUCAUGCCGUGUGACUUCUGAAGCUAGCUCCUAAGAAGUCCUUGCAGCUUCUGCCUGCGACUCUUAGAACACUUGCUUUGAAGGAUGCCAGAUGCUGUCUUAAAAGUCUGAGCACUCUGAAACCAUCAUGCUGUGAGGAAGCCCAAGCUAACCACAUGGGCAAAAAAGAUGCCCUCUGACUGCCACCAUUUGAGACACUCUAAUUAAGAACUGCCUCAUUGAGCCCAUGAGGCCCUGUGAAUGAUAAUAAUAAAUUGUUUUUAACCAC